GCGAGUUUAUCGCAUCUAAGCUAUCUGCAUUCAUAAACAUUUCUGCGGUGGCAGCGCGCCGUCAUCACAAAGCUACACCUUAGAAAGAUUAUCUACCGCCACGUGAUGAGAGGUGGGCAACCACAGAAGUAAACAUGAGCUUAAUUAGACUCUGAUUGACCACACAUUUCCAUUAAAAUUACUCCAUCAAUCCAAACGCCAACAGGCUUUUACAACAUUUUCAAUUGAAAUGCGUGUGACUCACUGUCAUUUGUAACAGGAACUUAAGAGAGCACAUUUGAUGUAAGACAAUCUGUAAACUACUUUUGCUGAACAUACUAUUUUAACUAAACUUGAUUUUUCUUUCUUUCUGAAGUAAUAACAGAUACUUAGUCUAUUUUUUUAACAAGAUACUUAGUCUAUUUAAUUAAACUAUUACACUUUUAAUUCUCGCUCGAACUAUACAUGACUUCCUUCCUUAUUGGUGCAGAUGGGUCAAGAAUGUCAUCUGCUCCAAUUGUAAUAUUACAUGGGGAUUCAACCUCCCAAAGGACAUGGCACUUCACCAAAAUAAGUGUUAUGAUCUUGGGAAUCUGAAAAUACCCAUGAGACCAAGCUUCUUUCCAUAUUCAAUAGCU
RNAcentral lists this long non-coding RNA (617 nucleotides) under Trifolium pratense (red clover). RNAcentral's name for it is "long non-coding RNA (TPRA_LNC010185)". The record is from RNAcentral. Lineage: Eukaryota; Viridiplantae; Streptophyta; Magnoliopsida; Fabales; Fabaceae.